Bos indicus x Bos taurus (hybrid cattle) is the source of this 212-nucleotide long non-coding RNA. NCBI's taxonomy places the organism in Eukaryota, Metazoa, Chordata, Mammalia, Artiodactyla, Bovidae. The record is from Ensembl.
AUUGACUGGAGACCGUGAAAGCCACCAUUUCUCAUCCAAGUAGUUAAGGUAUUUAGUCUGGCGACCCAGAGAGCCACUCAGCUGCGCCUUUCCCAUGCCCCUGUCUCAGCCGAGAGGGCUCAGAGAAUGGCCUCCUGUGGCAGCUGCCCUGGACGGAGUCCCCUGCCCUUUCGGCUCCUGACAUCAGGGUGCAGUGAUGCAGGUUAGGUAAC